Molecule: ribosomal RNA, 508 nt
Filed under: uncultured bacterium
Lineage: Bacteria
Description: partial 16S ribosomal RNA
Rfam family: Bacterial small subunit ribosomal RNA
Source: RNAcentral
AUUGAACGCUGGCGGCAUGCCUUACACAUGCAAGUCGAACGGCAGCGGGGGAGAAGCUUGCUUUUCCUGCCGGCGAGUGGCGAACGGGUGAGUAAUACAUCGGAACGUGCCCUGUAGUGGGGGAUAACUAGUCGAAAGAUUAGCUAAUACCGCAUACGACCUGAGGGUGAAAGUGGGGGACCGCAAGGCCUCAUGCUAUAGGAGCGGCCGAUGUCUGAUUAGCUAGUUGGUGGGGUAAAGGCCUACCAAGGCGACGAUCAGUAGCUGGUCUGGGAGGACGAUCAGCCACACUGGGACUGAGACACGGCCCAGACUCCUACGGGAGGCAGCAGUGGGGAAAUUUGGACAAUGGGCGAAGGCCUGAUCCAGCAAUGCCGCGUGUGUGAAGAAGGCCUUCGGGUUGUAAAGCACUUUUGUCCGGAAAGAAAUGGCUCUGGUUAAUACCUGGGGUCGAUGACGGUACCGGAAGAAUAAGGACCGGCUAACUACGUGCCAGCCGCCGCCGUAA